AAAUGGUUCUAGUUUUGCUAGAUUAAAAGGGAAUUGAGUGAAAAUCUCAAACGGUCCCGCCACUGUAAUGAGGAUGAAAGCAGAUUGCCACUGAGACAUAGAAUAUGUCUUGGGAAGGUAUGUGAGUAAAGUGAUUCUAAGUCAGGAGACCUGCCUUUGAUAAU
RNAcentral lists this non-coding RNA (164 nucleotides) under Fusobacterium ulcerans. Lineage: Bacteria; Fusobacteriati; Fusobacteriota; Fusobacteriia; Fusobacteriales; Fusobacteriaceae. The record is from RNAcentral.